AGCAGGAGCGGAGGGAAGAGGGGAGAGAAGGCACCGCUAAGGACCAGUGGCCCCGCCAGGCGGCCGACCUCCCCAUUCCAGGGGCGCCAGCCGGCGGAUUACAUAACGGGCCUCGGGGCGCACUCUCGCGAGGUUUCCACCGCCCCCUCCUCGCUCCACGUCAGAGGGAACCGGGCGGAGCGGCCAACAUGGCGGAACGCAGGAGACACAAGAAGCGGAUCCAGAGGCUGUGGAGUAAUGUGACAGUGGCAGAGAGCUAAAACUUGAGCCAAACUGCCUGUUUGUACCCCACCUCCACCAGUUAUUGGCUGAGUAACUUUGAGCAAGUUAAUUUUUACCUCCCUGUCUGCAUCGGUAAGAAAA
Molecule: small RNA, 363 nt
Filed under: Pan troglodytes (chimpanzee)
Lineage: Eukaryota; Metazoa; Chordata; Mammalia; Primates; Hominidae
Description: processed transcript
Source: RNAcentral